Alnus glutinosa is the source of this 148-nucleotide small nuclear RNA. RefSeq annotates it as U12 minor spliceosomal RNA. The transcript has a single exon. NCBI's taxonomy places the organism in Eukaryota, Viridiplantae, Streptophyta, Magnoliopsida, Fagales, Betulaceae. The record is from RefSeq and is a predicted model, not a curated record.
GUGCCUUAAACUAGUAAGGAAAACAAAGUGCGCGGUGGGAGCCGCUUGCAGCGCCCAUUAUAACGUGCGCAAGAAUUUAUGGACGGGUGAUAGGCUGGCCAAGCACUGACGCUGCUUACUUUGCAGAACUUGCUUGUGCUGCCCUCCC